RNAcentral lists this ribosomal RNA (253 nucleotides) under uncultured bacterium. RNAcentral's name for it is "partial 16S ribosomal RNA". It matches the Rfam family "Bacterial small subunit ribosomal RNA", at positions 524 to 776 of the family's 1533-position model. The record is from RNAcentral.
GACGGAGGAUGCAAGUGUUAUCCGGAAUUACUGGGCGUAAAGCGUCUGUAGGUGGUUUAAUAAGUCAACUGUUAAAUCUUGAGGCUUAACUUCAAAACAGCAGUCGAAACUAUUAGACUAGAGUAUAGUAGGGGUAAAGGGAAUUUCCAGUGGAGCGGUGAAAUGCGUAGAUAUUGGAAAGAACACCGAUGGCGAAAGCACUUUACUGGGCUAUUACUAACACUCAGAGACGAAAGCUAGGGUAGCAAAUGGG